Molecule: ribosomal RNA, 520 nt
Filed under: uncultured Glomus
Lineage: Eukaryota; Fungi; Glomeromycota; Glomeromycetes; Glomerales; Glomeraceae
Description: SSU rRNA
Rfam family: Eukaryotic small subunit ribosomal RNA
Source: RNAcentral
AGCAGCCGCGGUAAUUCCAGCUCCAAUAGCGUAUAUUAAAGUUGUUGCAGUUAAAAAGCUCGUAGUUGAAUUUCGAGGUCAGCGGGUUGGUCGUGCCUACGGUAUGUACUGACUCUACUGAUUCCUCCUUCUUGAAGAACUGUAAUGUCAUUAAUUUGGUGUCGCAGGGAAACAGGACUGUUACUUUGAAAAAAUUAGAGUGUUUAAAGCAGCCAAUCGCUUGAAUACAUUAGCAUGGAGUAAUGAAAUAGGACGAUCGAUCCUAUUUUGUUGGUUUCUAGGGUUGACGUAAUGAUUAAUAGGGAUAGUUGGGGGCAUUAGUAUUCAAUUGUCAGAGGUGAAAUUCUUGGAUUUAUUGAAGACUAACUACUGCGAAAGCAUUUGCCAAGGAUGUUUUCAUUAAUCAAGAACGAAAGUUAGGGGAUCGAAGACGAUCGGAUACCGUCGUAGUCUUAACCAUAAACUAUGCCGACUAGGGAUCGGAUGAUGUUAAUUUUUAAUGACUCAUUCGGCGCCUUAC